Ceratitis capitata (Mediterranean fruit fly) is the source of this 154-nucleotide small nucleolar RNA. NCBI's taxonomy places the organism in Eukaryota, Metazoa, Arthropoda, Insecta, Diptera, Tephritidae. The record is from RefSeq and is a predicted model, not a curated record.
UGCGAUUAAGUCCACAACUAAAACCAUACGUGCUAAUUGAAGUGGCUUGUAUGGUAUUCAAGUGGACGACAUAAAACAUUGGUUAUCUAUUCCUCUUAAGGGUAUCGGCUAAAAGAUAAAUUUCUUAAUAAAGAAAUACCAACAUUGCGCUAUU